This 1441-nucleotide ribosomal RNA is filed under the name uncultured organism. Its description in RNAcentral is "SSU rRNA". It matches the Rfam family "Bacterial small subunit ribosomal RNA". The record is from RNAcentral.
CUUAACACAUGCAAGUCGAGGGGCAGCAUGGUCUUAGCUUGCUAAGGCCGAUGGCGACCGGCGCACGGGUGAGUAACGCGUAUCCAACCUGCCUUACACUCUUGGACAGCCUUCUGAAAGGGAGAUUAAUACAAGAUGUUAUCAUGAGUAAGCAUUUUCGCAUGAUUAAAGGUUUACCGGUGUAAGAUGGGGAUGCGUUCCAUUAGAUAGUAGGCGGGGUAACGGCCCACCUAGUCUUCGAUGGAUAGGGGUUCUGAGAGGAAGGUCCCCCACAUUGGAACUGAGACACGGUCCAAACUCCUACGGGAGGCAGCAGUGAGGAAUAUUGGUCAAUGGACGAGAGUCUGAACCAGCCAAGUAGCGUGAAGGAUGAAGGUUCUAUGGAUUGUAAACUUCUUUUAUACGGGAAUAAACGAAUCCACGUGUGGAUUUUUGCAUGUACCGUAUGAAUAAGGAUCGGCUAACUCCGUGCCAGCAGCCGCGGUAAUACGGAGGAUCCGAGCGUUAUCCGGAUUUAUUGGGUUUAAAGGGAGCGUAGAUGGGUUGUUAAGUCAGUUGUGAAAGUUUGCGGCUCAACCGUAAAAUUGCAAUUGAUACUGGCAGUCUUGAGUACAGUUGAGGUAGGCGGAAUUCGUGGUGUAGCGGUGAAAUGCUUAGAUAUCACGAAGAACUCCGAUUGCGAAGGCAGCUUACUAACCUGUAACUGACAUUGAUGCUCGAAAGUGUGGGUAUCAAACAGGAUUAGAUACCCUGGUAGUCCACACGGUAAACGAUGAAUACUCGCUGUAGGCGAUAUACAGUCUGCGGCCAAGCGAAAGCAUUAAGUAUUCCACCUGGGGAGUACGCCGGCAACGGUGAAACUCAAAGGAAUUGACGGGGGCCCGCACAAGCGGAGGAACAUGUGGUUUAAUUCGAUGAUACGCGAGGAACCUUACCCGGGCUUAAAUUGCAACCGAAUAUGGCGGAAACGCUAUAGCUAGCAAUAGCGGUUGUGAAGGUGCUGCAUGGUUGUCGUCAGCUCGUGCCGUGAGGUGUCGGCUUAAGUGCCAUAACGAGCGCAACCCUUGCCGAUAGUUACUAACAGGUCAUGCUGAGGACUCUGUCGGGACUGCCAUCGUAAGAUGUGAGGAAGGUGGGGAUGACGUCAAAUCAGCACGGCCCUUACGUCCGGGGCUACACACGUGUUACAAUGGGGGGUACAGAGGGCUGCUACCACGCAAGUGGAUGCCAAUCCCAAAAACCUCUCUCAGUUCGGAUUGAAGUCUGCAACCCGACUUCAUGAAGCUGGAUUCGCUAGUAAUCGCGCAUCAGCCACGGCGCGGUGAAUACGUUCCCGGGCCUUGUACACACCGCCCGUCAAGCCAUGGGAGCCGGGGGUACCUGAAGUGCGUAACCGCAAGGAGCGCCCUAGGGUAAAACUGGUGACUGGGGCUAAGUCGUA